Molecule: non-coding RNA, 217 nt
Organism: Cinara cedri
Lineage: Eukaryota; Metazoa; Arthropoda; Insecta; Hemiptera; Aphididae
Source: the annotation of a GenBank genome assembly
UGUAUUAAUGAUGUUUGAUUUAUAUAUUAUUUUUUCCGGUCUUUUUUUAUGAUACAAUUUUUUUUCUCUUAGAAUUUUUUGUUUGUUUACAUGAUUAUGGUUGUUUUACACUAUUGCAGGAAUCCAAUAUAGAUAUUGUUUACUAGACAUAGUACUUUUCACUUCUUGUUGUUUGUUUCUAGGUAGUUGUGCAAUUUUUUUUAUAAAAAAGUAUCUU